UUUUUUUUUUUUUUUUUUUUUACAUCUUUCUUCAAGAGUAGACAUUAGCACUUCUUAAUACAAGUGUUUGUUUCAUACAUAAAGUCCAGACCAAAGGAAAACAAACAGUACACCUAAGCCAAGCAUUACUGAAGAAGGAAAUGCAAAUGUCAAUUCUUUGGCUAAACUUUUUUUGCCAGUCUCUUUUGUCUUCAUCUGAUAUAUGAAAAACAUGGACAUAAAGA
RNAcentral lists this non-coding RNA (224 nucleotides) under Chattonella subsalsa. Lineage: Eukaryota; Raphidophyceae; Chattonellales; Chattonellaceae. The record is from RNAcentral.